GGACUACUGGGGUAUCUAAUCCUGUUUGCUACCCAAGCCUUCGUCCCUUAACGUCAGUUUGUACAUAGAGGGUUGUCUUCGCCGUUACACAUUCUAUUAGUAUCAAAAAAUUUCAUCUUUACACCAAUAGCUCUGAUAUUUACCUCUCACAUAAAACUCUAGCAAACAUGUAUACUUUUAAAGUUAAAUUUGCCGUCUAGGUACCCUUUAAACCUAAUAAAGAUGAAUAACACUAAUCUUACUUGUGUUACCGCGGCUGCUGGCAC
RNAcentral lists this ribosomal RNA (266 nucleotides) under uncultured bacterium. RNAcentral describes it as "partial 16S ribosomal RNA". The record is from RNAcentral.